This 822-nucleotide ribosomal RNA is filed under the name Cortinarius violaceovolvatus var. viola. RNAcentral describes it as "partial large subunit ribosomal RNA". Lineage: Eukaryota; Fungi; Basidiomycota; Agaricomycetes; Agaricales; Cortinariaceae. The record is from RNAcentral.
AAGCGGGAAAAGCUCAAAUUUAAAAUCUGUCAGCCUUUGGCUGUCCGAGUUGUAAUCUAGAGAAGUGUUAUCCGCGCUGGACCGUGUACAAGUCUCCUGGAAUGGAGCGUCAUAGAGGGUGAGAAUCCCGUCUUUGACACGGACUGCCAGGGCUUUGUGAUGCGCUCUCAAAGAGUCGAGUUGUUUGGGAAUGCAGCUCAAAAUGGGUGGUAAAUUCCAUCUAAAGCUAAAUAUUGGCGAGAGACCGAUAGCGAACAAGUACCGUGAGGGAAAGAUGAAAAGAACUUUGGAAAGAGAGUUAAACAGUACGUGAAAUUGCUGAAAGGGAAACGCUUGAAGUCAGUCGCGUUGUCCAGGGAUCAACCUUGCUUUUGCUUGGUGUACUUYCUGGUUAACGGGUCAGCAUCAAUUUUGACUGUUGGAAAAAGAUCAGGGGAAUGUGGCAUCUUCGGAUGUGUUAUAGCCCUUGGUUGCAUACAAUGGUUGGGAUUGAGGAACUCAGCACGCCGCAAGGCCGGGUUUUAACCACGUACGUGCUUAGGAUGCUGGCAUAAUGGCUUUAAUCGACCCGUCUUGAAACACGGACCAAGGAGUCUAACAUGCCUGCGAGURUUUGGGUGGAAAACCCGAGYGCGUAAUGAAAGUGAAAGUUGAGAUCCYUGUCAUGGGGAGCAUCGACGCCCGGACCAGACCUUUUGUGACGGUUCCGCGGUAGAGCAUGUAUGUUGGGACCCGAAAGAUGGUGAACUAUGCCUGAAUAGGGUGAAGCCAGAGGAAACUCUGGUGGAGGCUCGUAGCGAUUCUGACGUGCAAAUCGAUCGU